GAAAUGCGAUAAGUAAUGUGAAUUGCAGAAUUCCGUGAAUCAUCAGAUUUUUGAACGCAACUGGCGCUGGCUGGGUCUCCAGCCAGCAUGCUUCUUUCAGUAUCUUGUUUUCUCCUCACCCAAACCUUAAUGCUAGAGAUACCCUUCUCUUGCCAAGCACGAAAGCACUCUGCGCUCUGCGAGCUUCUCCUUGACUAGCUCAGGGGGUCGCACUCAAUGCAGCCGUCACAUUUCUCACAAUGUGAACUCAUUGGGAGCAGAGGCUGUCAGCUCACGCUGUCAGUGCUUAGUCACUUAAACUUUCUUUGCAUCUGAAAUCAAGCAGGAUCACCCGCUGAACUUAA
RNAcentral lists this unclassified non-coding RNA (344 nucleotides) under uncultured Dentiscutata. RNAcentral's name for it is "sequence contains ITS1". The stretch from base 1 to 105 matches the Rfam family "5.8S ribosomal RNA", at positions 50 to 154 of the family's 154-position model. Lineage: Eukaryota; Fungi; Glomeromycota; Glomeromycetes; Diversisporales; Gigasporaceae. The record is from RNAcentral.